RNAcentral lists this ribosomal RNA (704 nucleotides) under uncultured bacterium. Its description in RNAcentral is "bacterial SSU rRNA". It matches the Rfam family "Bacterial small subunit ribosomal RNA", at positions 51 to 796 of the family's 1533-position model. The record is from RNAcentral.
ACACAUGCAAGUCGUACGGAAGUUUUUAACUUUAGUGGCGGACGGGUGAGUAACACGUAAGAAUUUGCCUUUAGGAGGGGGAUAACAACUGGAAACGGUUGCUAAUACCCCAUAUGCUUUCGAGUGAAACGGUUUUUCCGCCUAAAGAGAAGCUUGCGGCUGAUUAGCUUGUUGGUAAGGUAAUGGCUUACCAAGGCGACGAUCAGUAUCUGGUUUGAGAGGACGAUCAGACACACUGGAACUGAGACACGGUCCAGACUCCUACGGGAGGCAGCAGUGGGGAAUUUUCCGCAAUGGGCGAAAGCCUGACGGAGCAAUACCGCGUGAGGGAUGACGGCCUAUGGGUUGUAAACCUCUUUUUUCAGGGAGGAAUCAAUGACGUGUACCUGAAGAAUAAGCAUCGGCUAACUCCGUGCCAGCAGCCGCGGUAAGACGGAGGAUGCAAGUGUUAUCCGGAAUCACUGGGCGUAAAGCGUCUGUAGGUGGUUUAAUAAGUCAACUGUUAAAUCUUGAGGCUUAACCUCGAAAUCGCAGUCGAAACUAUUAGACUAGAGUAUAGUAGGGGUAAAGGGAAUUUCCAGUGGAGCGGUGAAAUGCGUAGAUAUUGGAAAGAACACCAAUGGCGAAGGCACUUUACUGGGCUAUUACUAACACUGAGAGACGAAAGCUAGGGUAGCAAAUGGGAUUAGAUACCCUGGUAGUCC